Molecule: long non-coding RNA, 1408 nt
Organism: Aethina tumida (small hive beetle)
Lineage: Eukaryota; Metazoa; Arthropoda; Insecta; Coleoptera; Nitidulidae
Exons: 5
Source: RefSeq, a predicted model, not a curated record
CGAUUUACCUGUUGUAUUCUUAAUCACAACAGAGUAUGGAACAUUCAAACAUGUGUCGACGUUGUCGCCUCACUGUACGGAUUAAAAUAUCCCAAACAAAUAAUGAAUUAAUAAAAACCUUGGUUAUGUUUUAUUUUAAAAAAGUAUUUCUGUUACUAUAAGAGUUGUUAGUGGUGUAGCUUCUGUUUAACGAGCUUGGACGAGGGGGGCAGAUGUAGUGUAACGGGAUUUAUUUAUCGCAUAUUCUCCUGUAUAUUACAAUGUAAUUAUCUGUUGGUAUACCGCACUGUACACAUAGCUUGUGUCAGUCGCUAUCGGAACAACCACGAGGUUAGUCGGGGACCUUGGUUAAUUUUCCACGUUUUUCUUCGCCAUCCCCUGGAAUACUGAUUGUAUAACGUGUGCUAUAUUUGUCCUGGUGACAUUUAAAAUUGAAGAAAACCAAGGACCACGUGUUGAUGCAUAAAAGUUUAGUGUCUAAAAGUCGUGUUUUCUUCGAAGCCACCCCAUGUGAAAUCUCUAGGCACCCUAAAUUAUAAAUACAGGAGGAUUCCACGUAACAUAAAUUGUUUUAGUUCAUCUUAAUUUGUCAAUUUGAAUAUGUAAAGUUAGUAAUAAUUUUAGGCGACGAUGACAAAUAUAUAUAUAUAUAUAUAUAUAUCUGUUAAAUUAGAGGUUUUAAAAAAGAAUUUCUAGAAGCGAUGCCAUAAUGCUGUGUUCUUGAAAUUUAUGCAAGCUACGAAUUGAAGUAGUGGACAAUGAAACAAUGGUAGCUACCAGAAUGUUGGUUUAGUUCUCUCAGGACAAAUGGUUAUUGACUAUGGGACAAAGGAGGUGCCCAGAAUGUUAUAGUUUUCUCACGACAUAUGAGUGAUCAAAGGGAAUCUGAUGUGAAAGAAGUGAAACCAAAGGUAUUAUGACAAAAUGCUCUAAAAUAUAAAGGGUUAAAUACGGAUUUUCUACAACCACUGUCACAAGAAGAUUAAGGAUGAAGUCCAUUCUAUACAUUGCUUCAAAGAAAUAUCAAGUACAGCCAAUGUAAAGAAGAAUAUAUUAAGCUUUAUUUACAUAAAAUUGGUGUAGUGGUAGUGUAUUUAUACUGCGGUGGUAGCGGUAAUUUCUAAAUGAAGUUUUCGCAAUAGGCAGUAUGGUAUCAUUAUAGUAUUAACAUAUCACGUUAUUAAUGUUUCUGCACUACACACACAAAUACACUUCAACUGCACCAACGUUUAUGUGAAUGAGCUACUAGUAUCUGUGUACCAGAUAUUGAAAAUUAAUCAUUUAAAUUCAAAAAUUAAAAUAAUAAGUAGUCGUGUAUGUUACUUAAAAUAGGUAAUAUUUUAAGCAACAUGUAUAAAUUGCGAUUUAUGUUAUGUAAAUUAUAUUAAAAUUUAUAUAUUAUUGAGUA